Molecule: ribosomal RNA, 422 nt
Filed under: uncultured bacterium
Lineage: Bacteria
Description: bacterial SSU rRNA
Rfam family: Bacterial small subunit ribosomal RNA
Source: RNAcentral
UGAGGAAUAUUGGACAAUGGGCGCAAGCCUGAUCCAGCCAUGCCGCGUGCAGGAUGACGGUCCUAUGGAUUGUAAACUGCUUUUGUACGAGAAGAAACACUCCAACGUGUUGGAGCUUGACGGUAUCGUAAGAAUAAGGAUCGGCUAACUCCGUGCCAGCAGCCGCGGUAAUACGGAGGAUCCAAGCGUUAUCCGGAAUCAUUGGGUUUAAAGGGUCCGUAGGCGGUUUAGUAAGUCAGUGGUGAAAGCCCAUCGCUCAACGGUGGAACGGCCAUUGAUACUGCUGAACUUGAAUUAUUAGGAAGUAACUAGAAUAUGUAGUGUAGCGGUGAAAUGCUUAGAGAUUACAUGGAAUACCAAUUGCGAAGGCAGGUUACUACUAAUGGAUUGACGCUGAUGGACGAAAGCGUGGGUAGCGAACA